GAACUCUUUCCGUGAUCCUCACCCUCGUGUGCGCUGGGCAGCAAUUAAUGCUGUUGGGCAGUUGUCGACCGAUUUGGGCCCUGACUUGCAAGUUCAGUACCACCAGAGUGUGCUUCCUGCAUUGGCGUCGGCAAUGGAUGAUUUCCAGAAUCCCCGUGUGCAGGCACAUGCAGCAUCAGCAGUUCUGAACUUCAGUGAAAACUGCACACCAGAUAUCUUGACACCUUACUUGGAUGGAAUUGUUACCAAGUUACUUGUAU
Molecule: unclassified non-coding RNA, 260 nt
Filed under: Hevea brasiliensis (rubber tree)
Lineage: Eukaryota; Viridiplantae; Streptophyta; Magnoliopsida; Malpighiales; Euphorbiaceae
Source: RNAcentral